RNAcentral lists this unclassified non-coding RNA (404 nucleotides) under soil metagenome. Its description in RNAcentral is "partial contains 5.8S ribosomal RNA, internal transcribed spacer 2, and large subunit ribosomal RNA". The stretch from base 1 to 121 matches the Rfam family "5.8S ribosomal RNA", at positions 35 to 154 of the family's 154-position model. The record is from RNAcentral.
GAUGAAGAACGUAGCGAAAUGCGAUAAGUAAUGUGAAUUGCAGAAUUCAGUGAAUCAUCGAAUCUUUGAACGCACCUUGCGCCCUUUGGCUAUUCCAGAGGGCAUGCCUGUUUGAGUAUCAUGAACACCUCAACUCUCAUGGUUCUGCCAUGAUGAGCUUGGACUUUGGAGGUCUUGCUGGCCCCUGUGGUCAGCUCCUCUCAAAUGGAUCAGCUUGCCAGUGUUUGGUGGCAUCACAGGUGUGAUAACUAUCUACGCUUGUGGUUUUCCACCAGGUAACCUUCAGUGAUGGAGGUUCGCUGGAGCUCAUAAACGUCUCUCCUCAGCGAGGACAGCUUCUUGAAUGUUUGAUCUCAAAUCAGGUAGGGCUACCCGCUGAACUUAAGCAUAUCAAUAGCGGAGGA